GGUUGAUCCUGCCAGUAGUCAUAUGCUUGUCCCAAAGAUUAAGCCAUGCAUGUCUAAGUAUAAACAAUUCUAUACAGUGAAACUGCGAAUGGCUCAUUAUAUCAGUUAUAAUUUACUUGAUAGUCUCUUUACUACAUGGAUAACCGUGGUAAUUCUAGAGCUAAUACAUGCGAAAAGCCCGUCCUAUGGAGGGCUGUAUUUAUUAGAUAAAAAACCAACGCCCUCGGGCCCCUUGGUGAUUCAUAAUAACUUUGCUGAUCGCAAGGCCUUGUGCCGGCGACGUUUCAUUCAAA
This 293-nucleotide ribosomal RNA is filed under the name uncultured eukaryote. Its description in RNAcentral is "partial 18S ribosomal RNA". It matches the Rfam family "Eukaryotic small subunit ribosomal RNA", at positions 6 to 303 of the family's 1831-position model. The record is from RNAcentral.